RNAcentral lists this ribosomal RNA (237 nucleotides) under uncultured bacterium. RNAcentral describes it as "partial 16S ribosomal RNA". It matches the Rfam family "Bacterial small subunit ribosomal RNA", at positions 100 to 334 of the family's 1533-position model. The record is from RNAcentral.
CCGGCACGGGUGAGUAACACGUAUCCAACCUGCCGUCUACUCUUGGCCAGCUCUGGAAGGAAGAUUAAUCCAGGAUGGCAUCAUGAGUUCACAUGUCCGCAUGAUUAAAGGUAUUUUCCGGUAGACGAUGGGGAUGCGUUCCAUUAGAUAGUAGGCGGGGUAACGGCCCACCUAGUCAACGAUGGAUAGGGGUUCUGAGAGGAAGGUCCCCCACAUUGGAACUGAGACACGGUCCAA